GGUAUGUUGGUUGUGCAUUAAGGG
Molecule: non-coding RNA, 24 nt
Filed under: Arabidopsis thaliana (thale cress)
Lineage: Eukaryota; Viridiplantae; Streptophyta; Magnoliopsida; Brassicales; Brassicaceae
Source: RNAcentral